GCAGAACUCAAGUGUCACUAUAUAGUCUGCAGUCAAUCAGGAAGUAAGGGGGGGGAAUGGGAACGGGGACACAGGCAAGCCUCUGUGGUGUCAGAGCUGGGAAGGGGGAUACUGAGGAAGGAAACUGGAAUCAUUGCUUGCUGGAAGUUUACCCCAAUAAACAUUGAAUUGUUUGCA
Molecule: long non-coding RNA, 177 nt
Organism: Gopherus flavomarginatus (Mexican gopher tortoise)
Lineage: Eukaryota; Metazoa; Chordata; Testudines; Testudinidae
Exons: 2
Source: RefSeq, a predicted model, not a curated record